CAGCCGCCGCGGUAAUACGUAGGUGACAAGCGUUGUCCGGAAUUAUUGGGCGUAAAGGGCUCGCAGGCGGUUUCUUAAGUCUGAUGUGAAAGCCCCCGGCUCAACCGGGGAGGGUCAUUGGAAACUGGGAAACUUGAGUGCAGAAGAGGAGAGUGGAAUUCCACGUGUAGCGGUGAAAUGCGUAGAGAUGUGGAGGAACACCAGUGGCGAAGGCGACUCUCUGGUCUGUAACUGACGCUGAGGAGCGAAAGCGUGGGGAGCGAACAGGAUUAGAUACCCCAGUAGUCCCUGUCUCUUAUAC
This 301-nucleotide ribosomal RNA is filed under the name uncultured bacterium. RNAcentral describes it as "partial 16S ribosomal RNA". It matches the Rfam family "Bacterial small subunit ribosomal RNA", at positions 509 to 807 of the family's 1533-position model. The record is from RNAcentral.